GACCGAGGCACCACAGGCAACGGCUGGCGGCUCAACAUGCACGCCGUCCAAUACGAGCCACCAACCGACACACUCCACGUGAGAGACAACCUCACGUGAACAGAACACGAACCACUCAGCUCGUGUCGCACCUGCGUGAGCGUCGUUUUUGCUGUGCUUCCACUUUAUCAAUGUGCUUAUAGCGACGGGUUGCAUUGCAAAUACAUGUCUUACAGUGCCUC
This is a long non-coding RNA of Pollicipes pollicipes, 221 nucleotides long. RefSeq lists it as uncharacterized. Lineage: Eukaryota; Metazoa; Arthropoda; Thecostraca; Pollicipedomorpha; Pollicipedidae. The transcript is spliced from 2 exons. The record is from RefSeq and is a predicted model, not a curated record.